RNAcentral lists this long non-coding RNA (514 nucleotides) under Musa acuminata (dwarf banana). Its description in RNAcentral is "long non-coding RNA (MACU_LNC001006)". The record is from RNAcentral. Lineage: Eukaryota; Viridiplantae; Streptophyta; Magnoliopsida; Zingiberales; Musaceae.
CAAGAUUAUAUCAAGCAUUAUACACAGAAAAAACCAGUUAAAAUCUAAUUCACUUGACGGAUAAUAUCGAAUCAUUGGUUGCGAAAAGCUUGUGGUACUGCAUCUCCUACGUGUUUGUUGUCAUGCUAUUAUCUAAACUUCCAACUUUUUCUUCAUGCCUUUUGCUCAUCGCUGCCGCAAAAUCUAGCCGUAAUUUCUUGCCUCUGAUGCCACAAAAUUCUGAAUCUAGAAGCAAGAAUCCAUGACCAUAAAAAAUCUCUCGCUGAGAGGAAAACACAGGAUCAUACGCGGAGGAGAACAAAGCUUAAGAAACUUGUUUGACUAGGGAAUGUAAAGAGCAUCGACUUUACAUUAUGGAGACCACGAGUUUGAUCCCCACCGGUCCAUAUUCGUUUUUGCCGAACGAAACCAGCUCUAGAAGAAGGAGGACUGACGAGAAAAGAGAGCUAAGAGUAAAUCCUUUGUGCCAAUGCCUUGGCUGAGAUCAUUAACCCAUAGGCUGGCUUUAUAGACA